GCUACUGAGUCAUCAUCUCCAAAACUCAAAUGAGCUCAAGGCUCCAAACAUGAAAUGUGGUCAUGAGAGACAAGAGGAGGGGUUUGAAACAGCAAACUGUUUCAGUAGAGGGCCAAACAGCAAGUCAGCCACCGUAACACAAAAGUAGCCACAGACAGACGUCAAACGAUUAGGUACGGUGUUCCAAUAAAAUUGUAUUUACAAAAACAGGCAUCAGGCCAGCUUUGGCCCACAGGCCAGGAGUUUGCAGACCCCUGGAAAAGAGACUCACCAGAACUCUUCAAAGGAACAAAAUGUCGCACAAUCUCCGAGUCGAGGAAUUAACUUGUAAAUGGACAAGCAAGAGUCACUGAGAACUGCCGUCCUUUAGUUGGGCUCACUGCCUCACCAAAUAAAGCCAGUAUGUUUAAAGAAGAGUGGAGAAUAGUCAUGAGAUAGGCAGCCAGCCAUCUCGGCCAUAAAAUAGCAUAUUGACUGAGUUAGAGGUGCCUUGGAGAGGAGCCCACAGCCUGCCAUCUUGCAUUUGAAAGGACAGGCGUCAUGAAUCACAGAUACAGGACACACGAAUGUGCGGGAGAGAGAACUGGAUUUUCGUCAUGUGUUGUGAAUUUCCCAGCCAUGCUUUAAAGAAGACAUACGUGGCAGCUCGAGAGCAACCACUUGCAGGUGGCCAGCGUGGAGGGGAGUUCCAUGUCCUUCUCUCUCCGCAAGUGCCAAAAGCUCUGCCCGGGCGCCACGGAUGACAGCAACCGACAUGCAACCAAAUGAAACACGCCUCCUCUUUGCAGCUGCUUCAGAACAACGCUAAGGAAAGGAAAGGUCUUUGUGUGAAAACCUAUCAUUCUCGGUGAGACCUCAGACUCUGAGGUGUGGGCAGAACGUCUCUGCUGGGACAAGGGAAGUGGGGGCUUAGCCGUGGCUCUAGGGUGUGGAAUAUGUGAAGGUGUCACCAGAGACGCAGGAAGAAGCUGGGACACCCUCCGAAGCUCACUCUCUCUAAGCCUUCAGUAGGAGUCCAAAAUCACGAAGGGCUUGCUACUGUGUGCCUGCCACGGAGGCACCAGCAUAACAGUGGGAGACAGGGUCUGGGUCAAGUUGGAGACCUUCUCUGAGGGUUGGGAUGACACAGAUGUCCAAACGUUGGCCCCAGUGCUCACUGUCUUUGUAACGGAGGCAGGUGAUAUAACAUGUCUAAGUUCCCACUUCUUGGUCACCA
This is a long non-coding RNA of Panthera uncia (snow leopard), 1216 nucleotides long. RefSeq lists it as uncharacterized. The record is from RefSeq and is a predicted model, not a curated record. The transcript has 4 exons. NCBI's taxonomy places the organism in Eukaryota, Metazoa, Chordata, Mammalia, Carnivora, Felidae.